This 229-nucleotide ribosomal RNA is filed under the name uncultured bacterium. RNAcentral's name for it is "partial 16S ribosomal RNA". It matches the Rfam family "Bacterial small subunit ribosomal RNA", at positions 1 to 258 of the family's 1533-position model. The record is from RNAcentral.
UAGUGAGUUUGAUCUGGCUCAGGAUGAACGCUGGCGGUCUGCUUAACACAUAGCAAGUCGAACGCAAGUAGAAAUACUUGAGUGGCGGACGGGUGAGUAACGCGUGAGAAUCUGCCUUCUGGUCGGGGACAACCACUGGAAACGGUGGCUAAUACCGGAUAUGCCUAUGGGGUAGAAAGAUUAACUUGCCAGAAGAAGAGCUCGCGUCUGAUUAGCUAGUUGGAGAGGU